This 250-nucleotide long non-coding RNA is filed under the name Homo sapiens (human). RNAcentral's name for it is "HSALNT0335655". The record is from RNAcentral. Lineage: Eukaryota; Metazoa; Chordata; Mammalia; Primates; Hominidae.
AAACACCUUCUAUGGGAAAAAAGAACUAAUGCAAUAACUUUCAUCCUUGUGAACAAGAAAUGAAUCUGUUUCUAUAGCACUGAUGGAAGAAGAAAAAGUGACUGGGACUACCCUGAAAAUUGCAAUAAACAAAUUACUGGUUAUGAUAUGUGUUGGAUACCUAGAGUGUUUCUUGCUUCUCAUUACCACAAACUUUCUUAUAGAUGAAAGAUUAUGCUCUUGUCUAUGAAUUUCUCUAGGAAAUAUGCCC